Rhopalosiphum padi (bird cherry-oat aphid) is the source of this 163-nucleotide long non-coding RNA. RefSeq lists it as uncharacterized. Lineage: Eukaryota; Metazoa; Arthropoda; Insecta; Hemiptera; Aphididae. The record is from RefSeq and is a predicted model, not a curated record. The transcript is spliced from 3 exons.
AUGUACUUAUAACACUUUCUGGAUUUCAAAAUAACUAUUUUGAGGAUAAGAAAUACAAUUUACAUUUAAAAAACAUAAAAGAUGGUAUGUAUUUUUUGUGAUUUAAAAAAAAAAAGUUAUAUUGAUUAACACACACUAUAAGAUUAAUAUAGUUUUAUAACGG